RNAcentral lists this ribosomal RNA (253 nucleotides) under uncultured bacterium. RNAcentral describes it as "partial 16S ribosomal RNA". It matches the Rfam family "Bacterial small subunit ribosomal RNA", at positions 524 to 776 of the family's 1533-position model. The record is from RNAcentral.
UACGUAGGGGCCUAGCGUUGUCCGGAUUUAUUGGGCGUAAAGAGCUCGUAGGCGGUUCGGCAAGUCGGAUGUGAAAGUCCAGGGCUCAACCCUGGGAUGCCGGUGGAUACUGUCGGGCUCGAGUCCGGAAGAGGCGAGUGGAAUUCCUGGUGUAGCGGUGAAAUGCGCAGAUAUCAGGAGGAACACCAAUGGCGAAGGCAGCUCGCUGGGACGUGACUGACGCUGAGACGCGAAAGCGUGGGGAGCAAACAGG